This 159-nucleotide unclassified non-coding RNA is filed under the name uncultured Phoma. Its description in RNAcentral is "sequence contains ITS2". Lineage: Eukaryota; Fungi; Ascomycota. The record is from RNAcentral.
CAACCCUCAAACCCCCGGGUUUGGUGUUGGGGAUCGGGCUGCCAGUCAGCCCGGCCCCGAAAUCUAGUGGCGGUCACGCUGCAGCUUCCAUUGCGUAGUAGAUAACACCCCGCAACCGGUACGCGGCGCGGCCAAGCCGUUAAACCCCCAACUUCUGAA